AUGCUCGCUUUGGCAGCAUAUAUACUAAAAUUGGAAUGAUACACAGAAGAUCAGCAUGGCCACUGCACAAAGAUGACAUGCAAAUUUGUGAAGCGUUCCAUAUUUUA
Molecule: small nuclear RNA, 107 nt
Filed under: Salvator merianae (Argentine black and white tegu)
Lineage: Eukaryota; Metazoa; Chordata; Lepidosauria; Squamata; Teiidae
Source: RNAcentral